Molecule: ribosomal RNA, 214 nt
Filed under: Shewanella sp. SR44-3
Lineage: Bacteria; Pseudomonadati; Pseudomonadota; Gammaproteobacteria; Alteromonadales; Shewanellaceae
Description: partial 16S ribosomal RNA
Rfam family: Bacterial small subunit ribosomal RNA
Source: RNAcentral
UUUAAUUGAAGAGUUUGAUCAUGGCUCAGAUUGAACGCUGGCGGCAGGCCUAACACAUGCAAGUCGAGCGGCAGCGGGAAAGUAGUUUACUACUUUUGCCGGCGAGCGGCGGACGGGUGAGUAAUGCCUAGGGAUCUGCCCAGUCGUGGGGGAUAACAGUUGGAAACGACUGCUAAUACCGCAUACGCCCUACGGGGGAAAGGAGGGGACCUUC